GUGCUUGCUUUGGCAGCACAUAUACUAAAAUUGCAAUAAUACAGAGAAGAUUAUCAUGGCCCUUGCACAAGAGUGAUACCCACGUUCAUAAAGCAUUCCAUAUUUUU
Antechinus flavipes (yellow-footed antechinus) is the source of this 107-nucleotide small nuclear RNA. NCBI's taxonomy places the organism in Eukaryota, Metazoa, Chordata, Mammalia, Dasyuromorphia, Dasyuridae. The record is from RefSeq and is a predicted model, not a curated record.